ACCAGCUCAACACUGUCCUCACCCUCAAGUAAUGUCCCAGACCCAUGUUCGAGGCUCUUCUGAGGGCCCUCAAACAGAAGAAGAAAAGGACAGUGGAGGAGGAGGAUGACCAAAUAUCUGCUGAUGGUCAGGAAAAUAAAAGAAGGUGCCAUGACAGCAGUGAGAGUGGACAUUCAGCAUUUGAGCCUGUGGGGGCCAAUGGAGUCCCUGCUGCUUUUGUGCCUAAAUAAGUGAGAAUCCAUCUAGGCCUGCACCUCUGAGGAGAGGCCUCAAUUCCCAGAGCUCAGACGGCCACUUGAAUAAGAGAUCCCACACCUCUUCUGUGAGCUCCUUGACAAGCACAUACACAUGGCAUCCCUAUUUCCAGCCACAAUGCCAUUACCAUUUCCUACAGUUCCACU
This is a long non-coding RNA of Manis pentadactyla (Chinese pangolin), 401 nucleotides long. RefSeq lists it as uncharacterized. Lineage: Eukaryota; Metazoa; Chordata; Mammalia; Pholidota; Manidae. The record is from RefSeq and is a predicted model, not a curated record. The transcript has 3 exons.